Juglans microcarpa x Juglans regia is the source of this 264-nucleotide long non-coding RNA. RefSeq lists it as uncharacterized. The record is from RefSeq and is a predicted model, not a curated record. The transcript is spliced from 3 exons. NCBI's taxonomy places the organism in Eukaryota, Viridiplantae, Streptophyta, Magnoliopsida, Fagales, Juglandaceae.
CUUCCGUUUAUAUAAUCCUAUUCUGUCUUUCAUUAUCCGUGGAGUCAUAAAUUUUGCGUCAAAAGUUCAGGGCUCUCUCUGCCCGGCUCCGAUUCAGCUGACGCAUCCAGAGUCCAGACCAGACCGCAGUCCUAGUUCGCAGUCCUGUCGUCUAAGCAAGGUGGAAAGGCAAAGCCUUUGAAGCAACCCAAGUCCGACAAGAAAGAAUACGACGAGGUUGACUUGGCCAAUCUUCAGAAGAAGAAGGAAGAGGAAAAGGUAAUU